CCUACGGGAGGCAGCAGUGGGGAAUAUUGCGCAAUGGGCGAAAGCCUGACGCAGCGACGCCGCGUGAGGGAUGAAGGUCUUCGGAUCAGAAACCUCUGUCAGCAGGGAAGAACGGUCACUGUGCUAAUCAGCAGUGAAUUGACGGUACCUGCAAAGGAAGCACCGGCUAACUCCGUGCCAGCAGCCGCGGUAAUACGUAGGGUGCGAGCGUUAAUCGGAAUUACUGGGCGGAAAGCGCUCGUAAGCGGUAUGUCAAGUCAAGGGUGAAAUCCCCGCGCUCAACGUGGGAACUGCCGUUGAAACUGGCAAACUGGAGUGUGUGAGAGGAGAGUGGAAGUCCAGGUGUAGGAGUGAAAUCCGUAGAUAUCUGGAGGAACAUCAGUGGCGAAGGCGACUAUCUGGCACAUAACUGACGCUGAGGAGCGAAAGCGUGGGUAGCAAACAGGAUUAGAUACCCGUGUAGUC
Molecule: ribosomal RNA, 465 nt
Filed under: uncultured bacterium
Lineage: Bacteria
Description: partial 16S ribosomal RNA
Rfam family: Bacterial small subunit ribosomal RNA
Source: RNAcentral